UGGGGAAUCUUGCACAAUGGGCGAAAGCCUGAUGCAGCGACGCCGCGUGCGGGAUGAAGGCCUUCGGGUUGUAAACCGCUUUCAGCAGGGACGAGGCGAAAGUGACGGUACCUGCAGAAGAAGCCCCGGCUAACUACGUGCCAGCAGCCGCGGUAAUACGUAGGGGGCAAGCGUUAUCCGGAUUCAUUGGGCGUAAAGCGCUCGUAGGCGGUCUGUUAGGUCGGGAGUUAAAUCCGGGGGCUCAACCCCCGUUCGCUCCCGAUACCGGCAGACUUGAGUUUGGUAGGGGAAGGUGGAAUUCCUAGUGUAGCGGUGGAAUGCGCAGAUAUUAGGAAGAACACCAGUGGCGAAGGCGGCCUUCUGGGCCAUAACUGACGCUGAGGAGCGAAAGCUAGGGGAGCAAACAGGAUUAGAUACCCUGGUAGUCCUAGCCGUAAACGAUGGACACUAGGUGUGGGGGAAUAUUUCUUCCGUGCCGCGGCUAACGCAUUAAGUGUCCCGCCUGGGGAGUACGGCCGCAAGGCUA
This 526-nucleotide ribosomal RNA is filed under the name uncultured bacterium. RNAcentral's name for it is "bacterial SSU rRNA". It matches the Rfam family "Bacterial small subunit ribosomal RNA", at positions 355 to 896 of the family's 1533-position model. The record is from RNAcentral.